Molecule: ribosomal RNA, 510 nt
Filed under: uncultured bacterium
Lineage: Bacteria
Description: bacterial SSU rRNA
Rfam family: Bacterial small subunit ribosomal RNA
Source: RNAcentral
CUGGCUCAGGAUGAACGCUAGCUACAGGCUUAACACAUGCAAGUCGAGGGGUAACAGGAGAGAAGCUUGCUUUCUUGCUGACGACCGGCGCACGGGUGAGUAACGCGUAUCCAACCUUCCCCUUAGUAGCGGAUAGCCCGGCGAAAGUCGGAUUAAUACGCUAUGUUCUUCGUUGAUGGCAUCUGAUGUGAAGCAAAGAUUUAUCGCUAAGGGAUGGGGAUGCGUCUGAUUAGGUAGUCGGCGGGGUAACGGCCCACCGAGCCAUCGAUCAGUAGGGGUUCUGAGAGGAAGGUCCCCCACACUGGUACUGAGACACGGACCAGACUCCUACGGGAGGCAGCAGUGAGGAAUAUUGGUCAAUGGGCGCGAGCCUGAACCAGCCAAGUAGCGUGCAAGGAUGACUGCCCUAUGGGUUGUAAACUGCUUUUAUCAGGGAAUAAAGUGAGGCACGUGUGCCUUUUUGUAUGUACCUGAUGAAUAAGGACCGGCUAAUUCCGUGCCAGCCGCCGC